Molecule: long non-coding RNA, 377 nt
Organism: Pocillopora damicornis (cauliflower coral)
Lineage: Eukaryota; Metazoa; Cnidaria; Anthozoa; Scleractinia; Pocilloporidae
Source: RefSeq, a predicted model, not a curated record
UGGUAAACAUAGAAGAUUUCGACGAGAAGAGCGGUGGAAAGUAUCCAUUUUUCGAGUCCUACCAGGAAUCUGCAAGCCCAAAUGGAGCUAAAUCUAUCUGUAAAAAUAUUCUUUUUUGUUUUUUUUAAUUUGCGGCCUUCUAUUUUAUCCGAAAUGGCUCUACUUUACGUGUUUUAAGAGAUCGUAAACUGAAGAAAAUUUUGAGAGGUCGGCACCAAUGGAGGCAUGAAAGACACUGGUUGUUUUAAAGCUCUAAAGUGAAGAACAUCAAAGGCUAGACUACGGCAAUUGCUUGAGUCAGAUAAGUACUUUCUUAGUUUUUCUUUCGAUUUUGUGAUCUCUUCACCUCAUUGCUAAACUUUGAUUGCGUAGAAGCA